This 686-nucleotide long non-coding RNA is filed under the name Lonchura striata (white-rumped munia). RNAcentral describes it as "domestica (Bengalese finch) lncRNA (ENSLSDG00000003881.1)". The record is from RNAcentral. Lineage: Eukaryota; Metazoa; Chordata; Aves; Passeriformes; Estrildidae.
GCGUGGUCUCGGGUGGGCGUGUCCCCUGACGCCCCGCCCCGCAGGUGGUGCUGGUGGAGCGGGCGGGGCGGCGCGUGCUGCAGCUGGUGGGGCUGCUGGGCAUGAUGGGCUGCGCCGGGAGCCUGGCGCUGGCGCUGACGGUGAGCGGCACCCCGAAAUCCACCCGGGACACCCCGAAAUCCAUCUGGGACACCCCAAAAUUCAUCUGGGACACCCUGAAAUCUAUCCCUGAGAGCCCAAAAUCCAUCCUGGGACACCCCCAAUCCAUCCGGGACCCCAAAAUUCAUCUGGGACACCCCGAAAUUCAUCUGGGACACCCCGAAAUCCAUCCGGGCACCCCGAAAUUCAUCUGGGAGACCCCGAAAUCCAUCCCUGAGAGCCCAAAAUCCAUCCGGGCAGCCCCAAUCCAUCCCGGCACCCCGAAUCCAUCCCGGCACCCCGAAAUCCAACCCCGGGACCCCGAAAUCCAUCUGGGACACCCCGAAUCCAUCUGGGCACCCCGAAUCCAUCCCGGCACUCCGAAUCCAUCCGGGCACCCCAAAAUCCGCCCCGGGACCCCGAAAUCCAACCCCGGGACCCCAAAUCCAUCCCGGGCACCCCGAAUCCAGCCCCGAGAGCCCGAAAUCCCACCCAGGACCCUGAAAUCCAUCCUGGAAAAAAAAAAUUCAUCCUGGUGGGACCCCAAA